RNAcentral lists this ribosomal RNA (387 nucleotides) under uncultured cyanobacterium. RNAcentral describes it as "bacterial SSU rRNA". It matches the Rfam family "Bacterial small subunit ribosomal RNA", at positions 395 to 795 of the family's 1533-position model. Lineage: Bacteria; Bacillati; Cyanobacteriota. The record is from RNAcentral.
UAACGCGUGAGGGAUGACGGCCUAUGGGUUGUAAACCUCUUUUUUCAGGGAGGAAUCAAAUGACGUGUACCUGAAGAAUAAGCAUCGGCUAACUCCGUGCCAGCAGCCGCGGUAAGACGGAGGAUGCAAGUGUUAUCCGGAAUCACUGGGCGUAAAGCGUCUGUAGGUGGUCCAAUAAGUCAACUGUUAAAUCUUGAGGCUCAACCUCAAAAUCGCAGUCGAAACUAUUAGACUAGAGUAUAGUAGGGGUAAAGGGAAUUUCCAGUGGAGCGGUGAAAUGCGUAGAGAUUGGAAAGAACACCGAUGGCGAAGGCACUUUACUGGGCUAUUACUAACACUCAGAGACGAAAGCUAGGGUAGCAAAUGGGAUUAGAUACCCCAGUAGUC